GAUGAACGCUGGCGGCGUGCUUAACACAUGCAAGUCGAACGGAAAGGCUCCUGCCUGCAGGGGUACUCGAGUGGCGAACGGGUGAGUAACACGUGGGUGAUCUGCCCUGUACUUCGGGAUAAGCUUGGGAAACUGGGUCUAAUACCGGAUAUGACAAUCUCUUGGAUGGGGUUGUGGAAAGCUUUUGCGGUAUGGGAUGAGCUCGCGGCCUAUCAGCUUGUUGGUGAGGUAAUGGCCUACCAAGGCGUCGACGGGUAGCCGGCCUGAGAGGGUGUACGGCCACAUUGGGACUGAGAUACGGCCCAGACUCCUACGGGAGGCAGCAGUGGGGAAUAUUGCACAAUGGGCGCAAGCCUGAUGCAGCGACGCCGCGUGGGGGAUGACGGCCUUCGGGUUGUAAACUCCUUUCGCAACCGACGAAGCUUUUGUGACGGUAGGUUGAGAAGAAGCACCGGCUAACUACGUG
RNAcentral lists this ribosomal RNA (466 nucleotides) under uncultured bacterium. RNAcentral describes it as "partial 16S ribosomal RNA". It matches the Rfam family "Bacterial small subunit ribosomal RNA", at positions 28 to 507 of the family's 1533-position model. The record is from RNAcentral.